RNAcentral lists this long non-coding RNA (1077 nucleotides) under Phascolarctos cinereus (koala). RNAcentral's name for it is "lncRNA (ENSPCIG00000036963.1)". The record is from RNAcentral. Lineage: Eukaryota; Metazoa; Chordata; Mammalia; Diprotodontia; Phascolarctidae.
CACCCCGGGCCCGAGGCCCCGCCCCGCCUCCCGAGGCCCGGGCAGGCCGGCCCGCGCCCCCACGUGCCGGGCGACCCCCCCCCGCCGAGCCGCCCCCCACCCCCGCCCGCAGGCCCUUGCCUCAGACACCUCCUCCUCCUCCUCCUCCUCCUCCUCUUCCUCGUCCUCGUCGUCGUCGUCGUCGUCCUCGUCCUCGUCCUCCUCGCUGUUGUUGCUGCUGGGGCCGCCGGGGCCGGGGCCCGGGCCGGCGGGGCCGUGGUCGCUGUCGCUGCUGCUGUCGCUGCUGCUGGGGGGGCGGCAGGUCCGGCUGCGCUUGGCCUUGGGGUUCUGCGGCGGCGGCUUCUUCUUAAGGAGCAGGUCGCACACCCGCACCAGCCCGCGGGGGGCCGGGGACGAGCCGCCGCCGGGGCAGCCGAGCUCCCCGGCAGGGGGGGCCGCCGCCGCCGCCGCCGCGGGGGGCUCCCGUCUCCCUCCGCCUCCGCCGGGGCAGUCGCCUUCUCCAUCCCCGGGACCAGGCCGGGGGGCGCGGGGGCUCCGCUCAACCGCGACGGAAGCUCUCCGCGGUCGGGGCCGGGGCCGCCGCCGCCACCGCCUCGGUCACCUCUACUGCCGCCGCCGCCGCCGCCGCCGCGGCUCCGCCAGCUCUCACCACCUCUCGCGAUACUGAGGGCGGGGAGCCGUAGCGCCCUCCGCGGGGCGGGGAGGGCCGGAGAGGGGGGGGGCUGCGGAGAAGGGGGAGGCCCGGGGGGAGGGGGCCGAGCAGGGAGACGGGCCCCGAUCAGCCGGAAGGACGGAGGCAGGCAGGGAGGGGAGGGCUUCUCUUGGGCUUCCGUUCCCGGGCGCCGUGGGAGGGGGCCGCGCCGCCGCGCGCCGGUGGCCAGGCCGCCUCGGGUGCCUUUCCUCUUCGUUCCCCCUCAAAUACACCCACACACGCCUACCUUCCCUCCCUGCUCCUGUCCCCUCACCUCCCUCUCUGGCUCCCUCCCUUACCACCGAGGAGUGAGGGCUGCGCAGGCGCGGCCGGAAGCGCCUCUGACGUCAUCAGGCCUCGCCGCACGCUGCGCGCUCCGGCCAUGA